GGGUUGUGAGGUUAAGCGACUAAGCGUACACGGUGGAUGCCCUGGCAGUCAGAGGCGAUGAAGGACGUGCUAAUCUGCGAAAAGCGCCGGCGAGGUGAUAUGAACCCUUGACCCGGCGAUGUCCGAAUGGGGAAACCCAGUGUGUUCCGACACACUAUCGUUAACUGAAUACAUAGGUUAACGAGGCGAACCGGGGGAACUGAAACAUCUAAGUA
RNAcentral lists this ribosomal RNA (215 nucleotides) under Enterobacter cloacae. RNAcentral's name for it is "partial 23S ribosomal RNA". It matches the Rfam family "Bacterial large subunit ribosomal RNA", at positions 1 to 208 of the family's 2925-position model. Lineage: Bacteria; Pseudomonadati; Pseudomonadota; Gammaproteobacteria; Enterobacterales; Enterobacteriaceae. The record is from RNAcentral.